RNAcentral lists this ribosomal RNA (517 nucleotides) under uncultured bacterium. Its description in RNAcentral is "partial 16S ribosomal RNA". It matches the Rfam family "Bacterial small subunit ribosomal RNA", at positions 29 to 523 of the family's 1533-position model. The record is from RNAcentral.
AACAAACGCUGGCGGCGUGCCUAACACAUGCAAGUCGGACGUGAAAGGGCUUUCGGGCCUGAGUAAAGUGGCGCACGGGUGAGUAACGCGUGGGUAAUCUGCCUCUAAGUUGGGAAUAACUUACCGAAAGGUGGGCUAAUACCGAAUAAUACUGCAUGACUGCGGUUGUGCAGCCAAAGAUGGCCUCUGCUUGCAUGCUAUCGCUGAGAGAUGAGCCCGCGUACCAUUAGCUAGUUGGUCGGGUAAUGGCCUACCAAGGCUACGAUGGUUAGCGGAUCUGAGAGGAGGAUAAGCCACACUGGAACUGAGACACGGUCCAGACUCCUACGGGAGGCAGCAGUGAGGAAUCUUGCGCAAUGGGGGAAACCCUGACGCAGCAACGCCGCGUGAGUGAGGAAGGCCUUCGGGUUGUAAAGCUCUGUCGGGUGGGAAGAAACGUAUGGAGGUUAAUAGCCUUUAUACUUGACGGUACCACCAAAGGAAGCACCGGCUAACUCCGUGCCAGCAGCCGCAGUAA